UACACUCCUGCGGGAGGCAGCAGUAGGGAAUCUUCCACAAUGGGUGCAAACCUGAUGGAGCAAUGCCGCGUGAGUGAAGAAGGUCUUCGGAUCGUAAAGCUCUGUUGUUAGAGAAGAACACGUGCUAGGUAACUACUAGCGCCUUGACGGUAUCUAACCAGAAAGUCACGGCUAACUACGUGCCAGCAGCCGCGGUAAUACGUAGGUGACAAGCGUUGUCCGGAUUUAUUGGGCGUAAAGGGAGCGCAGGCGGUCUGUUUAGUCUAAUGUGAAAGCCCACGGCUUAACCGGGGAACGGCAUUGGAAACUGACAGACUUGAAUGUAGAAGAGGAAAAUGGAAUUCCAAGUGUAGCUGUGGAAUGCGUAGAUAUUUGGAGGAACACCAGUGGCGAAGGCGAUUUUCUGGUCUAACAUUGACGCUGAGGCUCGAAAGCGUGGGGAGCGAACAGGAUUAGAAACCCUUGUAGUCCCAUGA
Molecule: ribosomal RNA, 476 nt
Filed under: uncultured organism
Description: partial 16S ribosomal RNA
Rfam family: Bacterial small subunit ribosomal RNA
Source: RNAcentral